Molecule: long non-coding RNA, 675 nt
Organism: Oncorhynchus keta (chum salmon)
Lineage: Eukaryota; Metazoa; Chordata; Actinopteri; Salmoniformes; Salmonidae
Exons: 3
Source: RefSeq, a predicted model, not a curated record
CACCCUACGGGCAGCCUGUGAUGUUAAUAUAGUUGAAAACAGCAGGCAGGGAGGUCAACACCCUACAGGCAGCCUGUGAUGUUAAUAUAGUUGAAAACAGCAGACAGGGAGGUCAACACCCUACAGGCAGCCUGUGAUGUUAAUAUAGUUGAAAACAGCAGGCAGGGAGGUCAACACCCUACAGGCAGCCUGUGAUGUUAAUAUAGUUGAAAACAGCAGACAGGGAGGUCAACACCCUACAGGCAGCCUGUGAUGUUAAUAUAGUUGAAAACAGCAGGCAGGGAGGUCAACACCCUACAGGCAGCCUGUGAUGUUAAUAUAGUUGAAAACAGCAGACAGGGAGGUCAACACCCUACAGGCAGCCUGUGAUGUUAAUAUAGUUGAAAACAGCAGGCAGGGAGGUCAACACCCUACAGGCAGCCUGUGAUGUUAAUAUAGUUGAAAACAGCAGGCAGGGAGGUCAACACCCUACAGGCAGCCUGUGAUGUUAAUAUAGUUGAAAACAGCAGGCAGGGAGGUCAACACCCUACAGGCAGCCUGUGAUGUUAAUAUAGUUGAAAACAGCAGGCAGGGAGGUCAACACCCUACAGGCAGCCUGUGAUGUUAAUAUAGUUGAAAACAGCAGACAGGGAGGUCAACACCCUACAGGCAGCCUGUGAUGUUAAUAUAGUUGAA